Molecule: long non-coding RNA, 424 nt
Organism: Vidua macroura (Pin-tailed whydah)
Lineage: Eukaryota; Metazoa; Chordata; Aves; Passeriformes; Viduidae
Exons: 2
Source: RefSeq, a predicted model, not a curated record
AAUGCCUCUUCUUUUCCCUUAAUCUUUAGGUUACAGAAGUUUAAGCACUAGACAAGCACUGAAGACAAUUUUGAAAUGCUGUUGAGAUUAAAUAAUUUCAGAGCCAAAGCAGUAUGUUAAAAGGUUCCUAUGACUUCUUAAAUUCUUCCUGUGCUGCCUGUCACACAAUGUUGGAAGAAAGAGGACCAAUUUUGCUACGUUAUUUCCCUUUACACCUGUUAGUAUAAUUUGCUCCUACUGGGUUAACUACGUAAAUAUUUGUUAAUGGCUACAGAGCUGCUCAUUAUACUAAUAAUAGAAUAUUCUGAGAUGGAAGGGAUCCACAAGAAUCCUCAUGAAUGAUGGAGAAAAUUAAAUGCAAUAAUUUCUCCAGGUUGCUUCAGACUGGUUUGCCCUUAUUCUAUCAGAAUAAAAAUUUUUGACA